This 183-nucleotide non-coding RNA is filed under the name Halobacillus karajensis. Lineage: Bacteria; Bacillati; Bacillota; Bacilli; Caryophanales; Bacillaceae. The record is from RNAcentral.
UGAAACUAUCAAUCUAAAGGAUGGAAUGAUACUAACAAGUCUAGUAAAAACAUCCUCGAUAAUACUCCUACAUGCGUUACAUCGGAUAGGGUGUAAGGUGUGAAGCUAGGUGAAGUCGGGUGAAGGUUACCUAAGUCUAUAAUUUAAACAGAUAUGGUAACUGAUAGCUCGGUCGGCUGAAAA